UAUUUUAUUCCUCAAAUCAAUCUUUUUGAAGUCUUCUUUAUUGUUUAUUAUAAGAGGAUAACUUAACAGUUUACUACAAUAACACAAUUUAGGCUGUUUACACAGAAUCACAUCUUUUGUUUGUUUUUUGGAAGGACAAAAGCUUUGUUUGUAACUUCUGAGGGAAAAGUAACAGAAGGCAUAACUAGGCAAUACAUGUAUUUAUUUCAGAAGCUUCUGAGAAACCACACGGAGAACACUAGAUGUUCUUGUUGUAGCCUUCGAUGAUGGAUCGUCUCUACACUUCAUAAAUGUCACCAUUCAUCACCAGAGUACAACAGUGUCCAGUAAAGCCCACAGUGGGGGCAAUGUCUCUCUUUCUUUAAGGAAUUUGGGUAUUCCUUUUUGAAAGUGAUGCAUGAAUGUUGUAUUUUGUACUCAGGAUGCUUUUCUUUACCUCAAAUGUGACGUUUUUAAGCAAAAUCCAUGCAUUGGAGGUGUCAUAAUACCUGUUCCUCCUCUUAUUUCCCAUUUCUUCCUCCAAUUUACAGUUUGCAGAGUGAAAGAAGCCCUUGUUUCACUGAAGAAGUCUGCCCUAACUCUUCUUUAUGUGUGAGCAGAGUUGUGCAAGUUCUCUGCCUCUUUUAUUGGUACAUUCCAUUUUGGUGGUUGCAAUUCUUUCGCAGCCCACCAAUUUUUUUCUUUCUCAUUUUGAAACAUGAAACUGAACUGCAACAGAAAUGCCUUUCAAGUGAAUUGCUUCCAGUUUUAGUUCACUCAAAACAGCUGGAAACAAUUCCGACCUGUUUCAGCCGUUAACUAUGCUUUUAUAUCCGAUGACCUCACAUCUCAUUUCUCUGAAAACAAGAUUUCCAGGGAGCUUCAGGGAAGCUCACAUCAGCUAAAAAAGUUCAGGAAAUAAUCUCUAAUAUUCUAUUUUUCCUGGACAUUGAGGACAGCUUGCGUGAAACUGAAAGUUUGAACUGAAAGUUACAGAAAUAGCUUCAUAUGAUGGAAUUAAGACACUUUCCAACAAGGCCACAAGCUCCCUGCUCCGCUCCAUUCCAAAGUAUCUAGACAAAUAGAUCCAUGUACAUCUUUAUGUUCCUCGUCUGAGCUGGGAUCUCCAAUGUCUUCUUCAUGUCAGAAGCAGCAGAGUCUAUGAGUUACAGCUGUGGGCUGGAAGCUUAAAGUAGAAGUGAAACUCCCCGGAGCAGAUGCAGAAAUGAAGGCCUGCACACGUGUUCCCACCAGCUGUUAUGACAAAAGCCUCCAAACUAUACCGUAUACCAAUCUCAAGAAAACUGUGCGUUUGUUAUUUUUAACAUGUUCUUGUGGCUUCUUUCUGAUUAAAGACAAUUUAAUUGACAAUUUAACUCAA
Long non-coding RNA from Oryzias latipes (Japanese medaka), 1360 nucleotides. RefSeq lists it as uncharacterized. The record is from RefSeq and is a predicted model, not a curated record. Lineage: Eukaryota; Metazoa; Chordata; Actinopteri; Beloniformes; Adrianichthyidae.